This 189-nucleotide ribosomal RNA is filed under the name uncultured bacterium. Its description in RNAcentral is "partial 16S ribosomal RNA". It matches the Rfam family "Bacterial small subunit ribosomal RNA", at positions 338 to 524 of the family's 1533-position model. The record is from RNAcentral.
CCUACGGGAGGCAGCAGUGGGGAAUAUUGGACAAUGGGCGAGAGCCUGAACCAGCCAAGUAGCGUGCAGGAUGACUGCCCUAUGGGUUGUAAACUGCUUUUAUAGGGGAAUAAAGUGAGGAACGUGUUCCUUUUUGUAUGUACCCUAUGAAUAAGGACCGGCUAAUUCCGUGCCAGCAGCCGCGGUAAU